AGCGCCGCCUUCAGGACUGUUUUUAUAUUCCCAACUUCACUGAAAGGGGAUCCUGUGUGUAUUGGUACCAUAAUUACUGAAUGAGUAAUUACGUGUUUUAAUAAAUAUUUAUCUCGAACUGAUGUAUAGGCAGAAAAAAAUAUCAAUUUUUAGAGUAUAACAUCGUCUCUGUUGCACUGCACCUGCGCAGAUGACCGCAGAUCUCUUAAGUCAUAAGAAACCUGGCAGUGCAGGUGAUCAGCUCUGUGAGGUUAUUAAAGGUACGCGGACAGAGUCGCGUUAAAUCAGUUAAGUCGCUCUGCCGCUCUGGGCUGCAUGGUGCGGAGCUCUGACUGUAUAAACGAUGGACGACGCGACAGCACUUUCUCCCAUGGUGCAAAAAUGAAGCCAAAAUAUUCCCCUCGUGGAAGCUGCCAUAUUGCGCUUUUGGAGCCAGAGUGCGGAGGAGUGACUUGAGGUGGAGCGACUGCGUCACGCUCCCACCCACACACCCGCUGGACGUGACCGCAAAAGUCCACAUAAUUAUUACCAGCUACACCCACCAUGGGAGAAACUGGUGAGAGAGACCAUCAGGACCAAGCUGGGUUUCCUGGGUCUAGAGGUUUGGAGAAAUCCAGAUGUUCUGUUGACCCACUGAGAGAGGCAUCAUUUCAGAAACAUCAGAAAAAAUGAAGUUCAUCGCAGGGAUCAAGGAGGACCUCAUGAUCUUCACCACCAGCUCCCUUGCAGAGAAAUCUUCAGAACUCCACUGUAGGCCCACUCCAGAAGAGACCUUUGGUUUGUUUAAUGUUAUAAAUACUUGGACUGAACUCUUACAUAAAGAUAUUAUAUUCAGUCUUGUAGAAAUAAAUAUAUAUAUAUAUUAUCCUCUCUGGUCACUGGUAUGAAUGACUCUGAAUUAUUUUGUGGUAAAUAACACACUAUUGGCAAAAAAAACACAGUGAAAGAAUUCCAGAUCACUAGUUUUUAGUCAUAUGGUUUUAUUUAAUUGUGUCAGAGAAAAUCUCAUGUGCUCUUCCUGUGUCUGAGUGCAUUCAGUGUUUAAAAUAGAACCUCUGCAGGUCUCAGAUCAGCAGCUUUCUGAAACACCAAACUGCUGAUAUGUAGUGACACACACGGUUACAUGGGUGAUUAAUCCUUUUGACUUUUUGUCUUUAACUUUAUCAAUAAAACAGCUGCAGCUUUCACUGACAGCACAUGUGGUACUUUAACCUUUGUACUGUUUUUUUUUAUCAGUUAAUUCUGGAGUUAACAUGAACAUGUUGGAUAUCUGUCUGCUUUCACUGGGUGGUACAGAGGUCUGAGUCUGAGGGGAGCUCCUGUAAUCACGAAGAGAACAGAAUCAUCACAAACUGAAAUAUAAAGUUUAUCUCUCAAAUAUGAAAUAAAGCUGAUCCUUCUUGGUCCUCACAGAGUUCUACUCUUGCAUUCUUUCAGUUCUACAGUUCUGCUGACAUACGAGCUGCUUAUUAAAAAAGGCCAAAGCCUUAUAUACCAUACAUACUAUAUAAACAACAUAUAUAAACAGAUUUUCCAAUAUAAUAUUUACCUUUGAG
Long non-coding RNA from Astatotilapia calliptera (eastern happy), 1556 nucleotides. Lineage: Eukaryota; Metazoa; Chordata; Actinopteri; Cichliformes; Cichlidae. The record is from Ensembl.